AACUGAUACUACCUGCGGGAACCUGCGGAGGGAUCAUUGCUGGAACGCGCCCCAGGCGCACCCAGAAACCCUUUGUGAACUUAUACCUUACUGUUGCCUCGGCGCAUGCCGGCCCCCAGGGGCCCCUCGGAGACGAGGAGCAGGCACGCCGGCGGCCAACCUAACUCUUGUUUUUACACUGAAACUCUGAGAAAAAAAACAAAAUGAAUCAAAACUUUCAGCAAUGGAUCUCUAGAUCGG
RNAcentral lists this unclassified non-coding RNA (240 nucleotides) under soil metagenome. Its description in RNAcentral is "partial contains 5.8S ribosomal RNA, internal transcribed spacer 2, and large subunit ribosomal RNA". The record is from RNAcentral.